UUUCUAUUUGACCCUGGUAGAAAGUAGAAAUGUGAUUAGUAGAGCUACAUACGGAUAUUAUAUGGUUGAUUAAGUGUAAAUUAAAAAUUUUUAAUUAGUAGUAGUUAGGACUGUUAGUAUAAAGAGAUUUAAUGAUGGUUACUAGUCGUUAGAAGAGGCUAAGUCACAGUGCCAG
RNAcentral lists this ribosomal RNA (175 nucleotides) under Schistosoma mansoni. RNAcentral describes it as "partial 12S ribosomal RNA". The record is from RNAcentral. Lineage: Eukaryota; Metazoa; Platyhelminthes; Trematoda; Strigeidida; Schistosomatidae.